AUCACAAUUCCCUCUUAACAAUUGCAUAUAUAUUUGAGUAGUCCUUUUCUAGUUUAAACAAUCAAGGAUUUUGGGUAUGAAUAAACUCAAGUUGGAGCUCUCUGCACUCCAGUGUUGAAGGAGGUGAUGGUAAACCCUAGCUGCUAAUUCAUGGUUACCUUUGGCUUCCCAUAAGGAAGCAUGUGAAAGUCAUGGGUUUACAUGAAUAUGGAGACGGGGUUGCCUUGAUCUUUUGGUAUUGGAGUGAAGGGAGCUCCGAAUUAGGCCUUCUUAACUAAAUACUCACUUUAUAUAUUAUAUGCAUGGUUUCUGAAAAACGGUUUAUCAUUACAAUUUAAACUGCAACAUAAAUAUUUUUAUUUUCUUAUUGUGAUUGUAAGUACGGUUACAUCAGUUAUAUUUGUGUAUACGUAAUUUCUCGAAAUUUUAAUGAUGGCAACAAAAUAUCAACUUCAACCACAAUCUAAUAUAAACCUUAGAUUAUAUAUAUGCAUGUCAUGCUUUCAUGGUUGCAGGUGUUAUGUUUCACACCCCUCUUUUCAUGUGUUUCUCUUUUUUAUUAUUUUUUUUAUCUUUUUAAUUUCCAUGACAUCAUUUUGUAAAUUUUGUUUAGCUUAUUUUCUAGUUCUUAUCUCUCUCCCUUUUAUGGGUGUAUACCCACUUGGUAUGAGAAAUAAUUAUUUUCCUACAUACAUAUGUUGCUAAUCGCAUGUUGCGGGGUUUUUCGAAGGAUUGGAAACCGAAUAGGCGAGAAGAGUUGUUUUUGAAUUGAAUGAGACUGAUCUUGUCAGGAACAUCAACAUGUUUCAACCUAGCUAAAUCAAAAGUGAGUGAAGAAAUGGAAAGCACGAGCCAUCAACUGAAAAGAGAAAAAUGAAACAACAGAGGGACAAAAAUCUGUGUAGAAGUUCUUUAGAAGUUAAUAUGAUAUUGAAAGUAUUUGGCGGAAGAGAUUGGAAUGUUUCUUGUCUUUACAGUCAAACUUUUAAAAGAGUCGAAUAUUCCUGCACCAUACUUUAUUUUUUAUAUUCUUGCGGAUUGAUAAAAUUAAUUCAUUAAUAAGAUUCUUCCUAUAUGUUAUUUUGAG
This 1087-nucleotide long non-coding RNA is filed under the name Glycine max (soybean). RNAcentral's name for it is "uncharacterized LOC100781804 (LOC100781804)". The stretch from base 83 to 270 matches the Rfam family "MIR159 microRNA precursor family". The record is from RNAcentral. Lineage: Eukaryota; Viridiplantae; Streptophyta; Magnoliopsida; Fabales; Fabaceae.